UACGUAGGGUGCGAGCGUUAAUCGGAAUUACUGGGCGUAAAGAGUGCGUAGGCGGUUCGUUAUGUCUGCUGUGAAAGCCCCGGGCUUAACCCGGGAAUGGCAGUGGAAACUGGCGGGCUUGAGUGUGGCAGAGGGGGGUGGAAUUCCGCGUGUAGCAGUGAAAUGCGUAGAGAUGCGGAGGAACACCGAUGGCGAAGGCAGCCCCCCUGGGCUAACACUGACGCUGAGGCACGAAAGCGUGGGGGAGCAAACAGG
RNAcentral lists this ribosomal RNA (255 nucleotides) under uncultured bacterium. RNAcentral's name for it is "partial 16S ribosomal RNA". It matches the Rfam family "Bacterial small subunit ribosomal RNA", at positions 524 to 776 of the family's 1533-position model. The record is from RNAcentral.